CGCCGCCGCAGCUCGCGCAGCCGCCCCUCCCUCGGCCGCACGCCGGGCCGCCGCUCCCCUCCCGUCCCGUCCCUCCCCGCGCGCAGCGAGCCGGAGGCUUCUUUAACCAGCCAUGGCAGACGGAGCGAGGUGUGCAGACGGUCGGUCGGCGGCGUUCGCGGCUUCCUCACGGUCGCGUCCCUCCCUCCCCUUCCCCCCUAGGCUCCGCCUCCCUGCCGCCUCCAGCAGCUGAUCCCCAGCUGCGGUCGCGCUUCCGCGGUGCGGGGCUCUUCCGCCGGCCGCCGGGCCGGAGAACGCGGGCGCCAGCUGCCCCUCCCCCGCGGACGGCUGCCCGGAGAUGGCGGGCGGCGGCUUGCAGCGGCCGCUGACCGCGCCGAACCACGGUUGGCUCAGGAUGGCGGCGACGGGGCACCCCCGGCACGCCGCACUCUGAAGUUGGACACGCGUAACAAUCAGAGUGGCAGCCGGCCUGCGGGCUCACCCUCCUUCCCUGGAGGGACAGCGGCUCGCCCAGCGCUGCUCGCCGCCUCCUGGGGCGCCCAGUUCCCUGUUCAAGUGAGGGAACCCACGAUUGGACUGGACGUCUGGAAGGAGGGUGAGGCCAAAGGUCUUGAGAAUGGAGGCCUGGAGAUGCACAGCUGUUAACCAGCAGCCACAGUAUAGUCCAGAAGUAGCUGCCUUUCAAUAGUGCAGGAGUCCUCAGUUGAGUUGACCUCAGUGAGGAAACUGGGUAAGUGCACUGGAAUUUUACCAGGUAAAGUUGAAAGUCCCCUUUUCAAUGGAGUGCUUUUCCAGGAAACUAUCCUCUACCAUUAGUGGUAAUUAACUAACCUGAAAUAGGCAGGUGUCAGGUUUGCCCUUUCAGUUUAACAAGAAUUACAUCCUCAGGACCAGAGAUGGCACAGGAGUGGUUAAAUACAACCAUAGGUGAAAGAUGAACUAAAGAAAUUCUUAAGAUGGGGAAUGAGGAAGAGGUUCACCUGUCAAGCAAAAUUAUUUUUUUUGCAAGUAGUUAAUUCAAAAGUUCAUAUAACAACAUUCUAAAUUUACUAGAAGGUCACCAAACCCAAAAAUGAGAAUUCAAAUGGAAUAUUAUCCUUUAAAUAAGAAAAUGAGUAAUGCUUAAAAAAUAAUCCUGUGCACACUGUGGUUUGUGCAUAUAAUCCAAGGACUUGGGAAGUGGAGGUGGGAGAAUCAAGAGUUCAAGGUCAGCCAAUAGGCUAUAAGAGACCCUGAUCUCAAAUAACAGUAGCUGAGUAGUAGCGGCUCAUACCGGCGCAUACCUUUAAUCCAACAAGAAGAGGCAGGCAAGUCUCUUGAGUCUACCGAGCAAGUUCCAGGACAGCCAGAACUACACAGAGAAUCCCUG
RNAcentral lists this long non-coding RNA (1369 nucleotides) under Mus spicilegus (steppe mouse). Its description in RNAcentral is "lncRNA (ENSMSIG00000015797.1)". Lineage: Eukaryota; Metazoa; Chordata; Mammalia; Rodentia; Muridae. The record is from RNAcentral.